AUAUCAAUAAGCGGAGGAAAAGAAACCAACAGGGAUUGCCCUAGUAACGGCGAGUGAAGCGGCAACAGCUCAAAUUUGAAAUCUGGCUCUUUUAGAGUCCGAGUUGUAAUUUGCAGAGGGCGCUUUGGCUUUGGCAGCGGUCCAAGUUCCUUGGAACAGGACGUCACAGAGGGUGAGAAUCCCGUACGUGGUCGCUAGCUAUUGCCGUGUAAAGCCCCUUCGACGAGUCGAGUUGUUUGGGAAUGCAGCUCUAAAUGGGAGGUAAAUUUCUUCUAAAGCUAAAUAUUGGCCAGAGACCGAUAGCGCACAAGUAGAGUGAUCGAAAGAUGAAAAGCACUUUGGAAAGAGAGUCAAACAGCACGUGAAAUUGUUGAAAGGGAAGCGCUUGCAGCCAGACUUGCUUGCAGUUGCUCAUCCGGGCUUUUGCCCGGUGCACUCUUCUGCAGGCAGGCCAGCAUCAGUUUGGGCGGUGGGAUAAAGGUCUCUGACACGUUCCUUCCUUCGGGUUGGCCAUAUAGGGGAGACGUCAUACCACCAGCCUGGACUGAGGUCCGCGCAUCUGCUAGGAUGCUGGCGUAAUGGCUGUAAGCGGCCCGUCUUGAAACACGGACCAAGGAGUCUAACAUCUAUGCGAGUGUUUGGGUGUCAAGCCCGAGCGCGUAAUGAAAGUGAACGGAGGUGGGAACCCGCAAGGGUGCACCAUCGACCGAUCCUGAAGUUUACGGAAGGAUUUGAGUAAGAGCAUGGCUGUUGGGACCCGAAAGAUGGUGAACUAUGCUUGAAUAGGGUGAAGCCAGAGGAAACUCUGGUGGAGGCUCGCAGCGGUUCUGACGUGCAAAUCGAUCGUCAAAUUUGGGCAUAGGGGCGAAAGACUAAUCGAACUAUCUAGUAGCUGGUUCCUGCC
Molecule: ribosomal RNA, 904 nt
Filed under: Curvularia geniculata
Lineage: Eukaryota; Fungi; Ascomycota; Dothideomycetes; Pleosporales; Pleosporaceae
Description: LSU rRNA
Rfam family: Eukaryotic large subunit ribosomal RNA
Source: RNAcentral